UCCCUGGCAGUCCAGUGGUUAGGACUCCAUACUUCCAUUGCGGCAGGCAUGGGUUCAAUCCCUGGCUGGGGAA
Molecule: transfer RNA, 73 nt
Filed under: Bos taurus (domestic cattle)
Lineage: Eukaryota; Metazoa; Chordata; Mammalia; Artiodactyla; Bovidae
Also listed under: 5 other names
Rfam family: tRNA
About the family: Transfer RNA (tRNA) molecules are approximately 80 nucleotides in length. Their secondary structure includes four short double-helical elements and three loops (D, anti-codon, and T loops).
Source: Rfam by way of RNAcentral